UACACAUGCAAGUCGAACGGUAACAGGGUGCUUGCACCGCUGACGAGUGGCGAACGGGUGAGUAAUGCGUCGGAACGUGCCGAGUAGUGGGGGAUAACGCAGCGAAAGUUGUGCUAAUACCGCAUACGUACUGAGGUAGAAAGUGGGGGACCUUCGGGCCUCACGCUAUUCGAGCGGCCGACGUCUGAUUAGCUAGUAGGUGAGGUAAAGGCUCACCUAGGCGACGAUCAGUAGCGGGUCUGAGAGGAUGAUCCGCCACACUGGGACUGAGACACGGCCCAGACUCCUACGGGAGGCAGCAGUGGGGAAUUUUGGACAAUGGGCGAAAGCCUGAUCCAGCCAUGCCGCGUGUCUGAAGAAGGCCUUCGGGUUGUAAAGGACUUUUGUCAGGGAGGAAAUCCCUAGCGCUAAUANCNCUGGGGGAUGACAGUACCUGAAGAAUAAGCACCGGCUAACUACGUGCCAGC
RNAcentral lists this ribosomal RNA (467 nucleotides) under uncultured bacterium. Its description in RNAcentral is "bacterial SSU rRNA". It matches the Rfam family "Bacterial small subunit ribosomal RNA", at positions 50 to 512 of the family's 1533-position model. The record is from RNAcentral.